RNAcentral lists this unclassified non-coding RNA (84 nucleotides) under Pseudomonas sp. B10. The record is from RNAcentral. Lineage: Bacteria; Pseudomonadati; Pseudomonadota; Gammaproteobacteria; Pseudomonadales; Pseudomonadaceae.
AAAGAUCGCAGCCUCAUUGCACUCGUCAGCUCCUACGGUCCGAUAUGUGUAGGAGCUGACGAGUGCAAUGAGGCUGCGAUCUUU